CCCCCAGUAGUGGCGAACGAAGCGGGAACAGCUCAAGCCGGCAAUCUCCGACGCGCCCCGCGUCGGCGACGUGUGGCCUGGGGAAGCGAGUUGUCCCGGCGCACCCGGCGCCGCCCAAGUGGUCUGGAAGGGCCCGCCACGGAGGGUGACAGCCCCGUGCCAGGCGGCCGCCGCGCGCCCGCGACGCGCUAUCUCCGAGUCGGGUUGUUUGGGAAUGCAGCCCAAAGUCGGGUGGUAGACUCCAUCCAAAGCUAAAUACGGGCACGAGACCGAUAGCGAACAAGUACCGUGAGGGAAAGGUGAAAAGCACUUUGAAAAGAGAGUCAAACAGGACGUGAAACCGUCGACAGGGAAACGAAUCGGUACGGCGAUGCCCCGGCGAGACCCACGGCGAACUCCCCGCGGCUCCAAGGAGCGACGGGUCGAUGCGAUGCCCCCGGGCACGCCGACCGUACGCCUCCAGACCGCUCGCCCGUUCCUCUCGCCGGGGCAAGUCAGCGUCGGUGUGGUUCGGCCCGCGAAGUCAGGGAAGUCGGAGCGCGCCAAGCCGCGCGCCCGUCCCCGGCCCGUCUCGGCCGCCGAACCAGACCGCGGAGAUCGCGGCUCGCCGCCUAGGCACAUUGUCCAGGGUAGGUGACCCGAGGGCUCCGGUGCCGCCGCGGAGGACUGACCGGCAGUGCUUCGCGGCGUCCGCCGGCCACCGCGGUGCGAAACCAUGGAAGCGAGCCCAGCACGCUGGCACCCAGGCGUUCCGAUCCGACCCGUCUUGAAACACGGACCAAGGAGUCCGACCCGUGCGCGAGUCCUCGAGCGAUAGAAACUCCCGGGCGCAAUGAAAGUGAACGCAGGCGAGAGCGGCGUCGCCUACCGCCGCGCAUCGCCGACCGACCCGGUGCGCUAGCGGCCGGAUCGA
RNAcentral lists this ribosomal RNA (913 nucleotides) under Actinostephanus haeckeli. Its description in RNAcentral is "eukaryotic LSU rRNA". It matches the Rfam family "Eukaryotic large subunit ribosomal RNA", at positions 77 to 793 of the family's 3401-position model. The record is from RNAcentral. Lineage: Eukaryota; Metazoa; Cnidaria; Anthozoa; Actiniaria; Actinodendridae.